GGGGGGUGGGGGGGGGGGGGGGGGUGGAGUUCCAUGGAUCAGCUUGCUCAUCUCAGUUACCUGUCUCAGUGUGCUUACCGAUCGGUCAACAUUCUGCCAGAAGUGGAAAGCACAUGAUGACAGUUGGUUAGAAAGCAUUGGACCUUCUUCAAUAUUAAAAUUUACUUAGAAAGCAUGGAAGCUUCUUCAACAUUCAAGGCAUGCAUGUUGCAGCUUUGAACGUACCAGGGCCUAUCCAUCCUGUCUCAGAAUCAGUGUCUGGUUCAUCGGUCAGAAGUGGCUAAUCAAUCUAUCUGGAUAAUUCCCGUAAAGUAACGCUCUAUUCCAAGGAUUUCAACUCAGUCAAAAUUCCCUGAAUGCCCAAUGGUUCAGAGGACAGGGGAGGGGUUGCUCUGGCUGAGGAUAUUUGGCCCAUUUAUGGAACAAACCGUUGAUGCAGCAAACGGGUUCAAUUCAUUGAGGGAAGUUACCAAUUCAGGGGGGGAAAAAAGAGGUGGCUGGUAUGAUCUGAUGCUGAAGCUCAAUGCAGUACAUCAAAUCUCUUCUUUUUUGCAGCCAAAAUUGACUCUGUCAAAAAAGUACCAGCCAGUAAGUGACAUACGAACAUAUGGGUUAAGGUAUCAAUUUACUUCUCAUGGAAGGUUAAGAAUGUAUCGAAGUAUACGAGAGAGAUCUGGUCUGAUUUUGUGCCUCCCUUUUGCCUCUAUAAAACUAACCUACAGGGCCCCAGAAGGAGCAAAGCACAACCACCAAAACACCUCUAGCUAGAUCGACCCAAUGCAAGCACAAGAAUAGAGAGCUUCGUCUCCAUACCACACUUGGUCACCAUGGCACAUGUCAAGAAGGGCACGGGUGUUCUGCUGUUGGCAGCUCUUGUCGUGGACCUCGUGGUCAUUGCCACGGUCUUCUCAUCUUGCCAUGCAGCAGCAGACUACUGCCACGCGAUCGUUCCGUGCUCUGACGAGACGUGCACCAACUACUGCCAGAAGAACAACUUCAAGAACUUCCAGACGUACUGCACGCCGGGCCAGUACUACCCCAGCUGCUGCUGCCGAGUGCCGGAUGCAUGAACGAUGCCCGGCGGCCGGCGUCUGAUCCGGCUGCCACCGCCGCACCGCCGGAAAAAUGUGGUCAUCACCGGGCAGGAGUAAUUUGUGUAACGGUAGUACAUAGUAUGAAUGGAUGGGGUGAUGCUAUACAUAGUGUUUUCUGUCUCUGCAAAUAUCCUGAAAAAAUAUUCAGCAGAUUUUCCCUGUCAGUAGCUUCAUCACAUUGGCUGGGCCAGGCCCAUUAAAAAUCAAGCCUAGUUUCCUUUUAGACAAAUACGGCCUGUUGUACUUAUUCUAAACAAUAUGGCGGUUUAAACAGAACUGAAAUCGGAUUCAUGGUUUCAGUCAAAAAGUGCAUUUCAAGGAUGAGAUUCAAAAUAA
This is a long non-coding RNA of Panicum hallii, 1430 nucleotides long. RefSeq lists it as uncharacterized. The record is from RefSeq and is a predicted model, not a curated record. Lineage: Eukaryota; Viridiplantae; Streptophyta; Magnoliopsida; Poales; Poaceae. The transcript has 3 exons.